GGGUCAGUAGGUUGGUCGUGCCACCGGUACGUACUGGUCUCACUGAUUCCUCCUUCCUGAAGAACCGUAAUGCCAUCAAUUUGGUGUUGCGGGGAAACAGGACUGUUACUUUGAAAAAAUUAGAGUGUUUAAAGCAAGCUGACGCUUGAAUACAUUAGCAUGGAAUAAUGAAAUAGGACGAUCGAUCCUAUUUUGUUGGUUUCUAGGAUUGACGUA
Molecule: ribosomal RNA, 216 nt
Filed under: Glomeromycotina sp.
Lineage: Eukaryota; Fungi; Glomeromycota
Description: partial small subunit ribosomal RNA
Rfam family: Eukaryotic small subunit ribosomal RNA (bases 40-216)
Source: RNAcentral